This 2331-nucleotide ribosomal RNA is filed under the name Paludibacterium sp. 12-54. RNAcentral describes it as "bacterial LSU rRNA". It matches the Rfam family "Bacterial large subunit ribosomal RNA", at positions 1 to 2213 of the family's 2925-position model. Lineage: Bacteria; Pseudomonadati; Pseudomonadota; Betaproteobacteria; Neisseriales; Chromobacteriaceae. The record is from RNAcentral.
CAUUGAUCUUUAACAAACUGAAGAAGCCGAAGUAAACCCAAGCGUCAUGACCGACAGGUUAUGGUGUGAGGGAUGGGUAGUAAUGUAUCGUCGGUCUAUUCCCUGAGGAGGGAAUAGGUCGAGCGCGAUCCGAAUAGCAAGGCUAUUCAAAUGAUAGGGUCAAGCGAAUAAGUGCAUCUGGUGGAUGCCUUGGCGAUCAUAGGCGAUGAAGGACGUGUAAGCCUGCGAAAAGCGUGGGGGAGCUGGCAAUAGAGCUUUGAUCCCACGAUGUCCGAAUGGGGAAACCCGGCCCUUAGGGGUCACUCCCACCUGAACACAUAGGGUGGGUAGAGCGAACGCGGAGAACUGAAACAUCUAAGUACCCGCAGGAAAAGAAAUCAACCGAGAUUCCGUGAGUAGUGGUGAGCGAAAAUGGAAGAGCCAUUAUGCUUUAGCUGUUGAGUUAGUGGAAGAGUCUGGAAAGGCUCGCCGUAGUGGGUGAUAGCCCCGUACACGAAAACUGAAUAGUGGAACCAGGCAUAAGACAAGUAGGGCGGGACACGAGAAAUCCUGUCUGAAGAUGGGGGGACCAUCCUCCAAGGCUAAAUACUCAUGAUCGACCGAUAGUGAACCAGUACCGUGAGGGAAAGGCGAAAAGAACCCCGGGAGGGGAGUGAAAUAGAACCUGAAACCGGAUGCAUACAAACAGUGGGAGCCCUUUAGGGGGUGACUGCGUACCUUUUGUAUAAUGGGUCAGCGACUUACGUUCAGUAGCAAGCUUAACCGAAUAGGGGAGGCGUAGCGAAAGCGAGUCCGAAUAGGGCGUUGUAGUUGCUGGGCGUAGACCCGAAACCGAGUGAUCUAUCCAUGGCCAGGAUGAAGGUGCGGUAACACGCAGUGGAGGUCCGAACCCACUAAUGUUGCAAAAUUAGGGGAUGAGCUGUGGAUAGGGGUGAAAGGCUAAACAAACUCGGAGAUAGCUGGUUCUCCCCGAAAACUAUUUAGGUAGUGCCUCAUGUAUCACUUCCGGGGGUAAAGCACUGUUAUGGCUAGGGGGUCAUUGCGACUUACCAACCCAUGGCAAACUCUGAAUACCGGAAAGUGCAAGCAUGGGAGACAGACGGUGGGUGCUAACGUCCAUCGUCAAGAGGGAAACAACCCAGACCGCCAGCUAAGGUCCCAAAUGAUCAGUUAAGUGGUAAACGAAGUGGGAAGGCUAAGACAGCCAGGAUGUUGGCUUAGAAGCAGCCAUCAUUUAAAGAAAGCGUAAUAGCUCACUGGUCGAGUCGUCCUGCGCGGAAGAUGUAACGGGGCUCAAACUGAUAACCGAAGCUGCGGAUUUGCACGCAAGUGCAAGUGGUAGGGGAGCGUUCUGUAGGUCUGCGAAGGUGUGCCGGAAGGCAUGCUGGAGAUAUCAGAAGUGCGAAUGCUGACAUGAGUAGCGAUAAAGCGGGUGAAAAGCCCGCUCACCGAAAGCCCAAGGAUUCCUACGCAACGUUCAUCGGCGUAGGGUGAGUCGGCCCCUAAGGCGAGGCAGAGAUGCGUAGUCGAUGGGAAACUGGUUAACAUUCCAGUACUUUCAUACAGUGCGAUGAGGGGACGGAGAAGGUUAGGUCAUCCACCUGUUGGAAUAGGUGGUUUAAGCUGGUAGGCGGGCAUCGUAGGCAAAUCCGCGAUGCUGUUAACGCCGAGAAGUGAUGACGAGGGUCUACGGACCUGAAGUGACUGAUACCCUGCUUCCAGGAAAAGCCUCUAAGCUUCAGCUGUAUGAGAACCGUACCGCAAACCGACACAGGUGGGCAGGAAGAAAAUUCUAAGGUGCUUGAGAGAACUCAGGAGAAGGAACUCGGCAAAUUGAUACCGUAACUUCGGGAGAAGGUAUGCCUCUUAGGGUGUAGGACUUCGCGUCCGAAGCUUUGAGAGGUCGCAGAGAAUCGGUGGCUGCGACUGUUUAUCAAAAACACAGCACUGUGCCAACACGAAAGUGGACGUAUACGGUGUGACGCCUGCCCGGUGCCGGAAGGUUAAGUGAUGGGGUGCAAGCUCUUGAUCGAAGCCCCGGUAAACGGCGGCCGUAACUAUAACGGUCCUAAGGUAGCGAAAUUCCUUGUCGGGUAAGUUCCGACCCGCACGAAUGGCGUAACGAUGGCCACACUGUCUCCUCCUGAGACUCAGCGAAGUUGAAAUGUUUGUGAAGAUGCAAUCUACCCGCUGCUAGACGGAAAGACCCCGUGAACCUUUACUGUAGCUUUGCAUGGGACUUUGAACAGACUUGUGUAGGAUAGGUGGGAGGCUAAGAAGCGUGAACGCUAGUUUGCGUGGAGCCGCCCUUGAAAUACCACCCUGGUGUGU